AGGUCGGGCUGGAAACCCUCGCCUCUCGCGGUCUCGCCUCUCCAAGACACCCAGGCCGCCGCCUUCGCCUACAGGCACCUUGCCGCCUCCGUCCGCUGCCCGUGGCUUCCGUCCACCUCCACCUCACUCACCCACUACAUCGCCGACCAAGCGCAGCACCGCGCGUGGACCAGACACCGCCCGUGGCUUCCGUGGACCAGACGCCGCCCGUGGCUUCCGUGGACGCAGCACCGUGCGUGGACCAGCCGCUGCUACAUCGCCGACCAGAUGUGCUGAUCCAAUUCAGUUUUCAGAGUAUGUUGACAAUCUGAAUUUAGUUCAAGCAAUACCUUCUCUUUAUUACAGAUGUUUAACCAGGUGAUACACAAGGGAUUUUCAUCAACAAGUGGUCGCCAGAAGAACUGAAACAUCAAGAUGGCGUUUGCUUUUAGGUCGUGUAUGUUGAAACUAUAUGUUUUAUUAUUAUGCACUGAGACUAUGUUUGACAUUGGUCGUGUACACUGAGACUAUGUUUUAUUAUGAGACUAUGUUUUAUUAUGAUGCACUGAGACUAUGUUUGUGCACACAUGUUUUAUUAUGA
This 580-nucleotide unclassified non-coding RNA is filed under the name Zea mays. Its description in RNAcentral is "misc RNA Zm00001eb430540". The record is from RNAcentral. Lineage: Eukaryota; Viridiplantae; Streptophyta; Magnoliopsida; Poales; Poaceae.